AACGGCCAUACCAUGCUGAAUAUACCGGUUCUCGUUAGAUCACCGAAGUGGAGCAUCAUUGGGCGCGGUCAGUACUUGGGUGGGUGACCACCUGGGAACACCGCGUGCCGUU
This 112-nucleotide ribosomal RNA is filed under the name Caerostris darwini. The record is from RNAcentral. Lineage: Eukaryota; Metazoa; Arthropoda; Arachnida; Araneae; Araneidae.